GCAGCUCAGCCGGUAGAGCAUGAGGCUCUUAAUCUCAGGGUCGUGUGUUCAAGCACCAUGUUGGGUG
Non-coding RNA from Podarcis lilfordi (Lilford's wall lizard), 67 nucleotides. The record is from the annotation of a GenBank genome assembly. Lineage: Eukaryota; Metazoa; Chordata; Lepidosauria; Squamata; Lacertidae.